UACGCUGAUGCGAUUUCGGUCAAAUCUUGUGUAAUCCUAGUGGCGGACGGGUGAGUAACGCGUGGGUAACCUGCCUUACACCGGGGGAUAACACUUAGAAAUAGGUGCUAAUACCGCAUAAGCGCACGAAACCGCAUGGUUUUGUGUGAAAAACUCCGGUGGUGUAAGAUGGACCCGCGUCUGAUUAGCUUGUUGGCGGGGUAACGGCCCACCAAGGCGACGAUCAGUAGCCGGCCUGAGAGGGUGGACGGCCACAUUGGGACUGAGACACGGCCCAAACUCCUACGGGAGGCAGCAGUGGGGGAUAUUGGACAAUGGGGGAAACCCUGAUCCAGCGACGCCGCGUGAGUGAAGAAGUAUUUCGGUAUGUAAAGCUCUGUCAGCAGGGAAGAAGAAAGUGACGGUACCUGACCAAGAAGCCCCGGCUAACUACGUGCCAGCAGCCGCGGUAAUACGUAGGGGGCAAGCGUUAUCCGGAAUUACUGGGUGUAAAGGGAGCGUAGACGGUAAUGUAAGUCUGGAGUGAAAGGCGGGGGCCCAACCCCCGGACUGCUCUGGAAACUAUGUUACUGGAGUGCAGGAGAGGUAAGCGGAAUUCCUAGUGUAGCGGUGAAAUGCGUAGAUAUUAGGAGGAACACCAGUGGCGAAGGCGGCUUACUGGACUGUAACUGACGUUGAGGCUCGAAAGCGUGGGGAGCAAACAGGAUUAGAUACCCUGGUAGUCCACGCCGUAAACGAUGAUUACUAGGUGUCGGUGGGUAUGG
Molecule: ribosomal RNA, 764 nt
Filed under: uncultured bacterium
Lineage: Bacteria
Description: bacterial SSU rRNA
Rfam family: Bacterial small subunit ribosomal RNA
Source: RNAcentral